RNAcentral lists this ribosomal RNA (433 nucleotides) under uncultured bacterium. RNAcentral describes it as "partial 16S ribosomal RNA". It matches the Rfam family "Bacterial small subunit ribosomal RNA", at positions 29 to 507 of the family's 1533-position model. The record is from RNAcentral.
AACGAACGCUGGCGGCAUGCCUAACACAUGCAAGUCGAACGACACCUUCGGGUCUAGUGGCGCUCGGGUGCGUAACGCGUGGGAACCUGCCCUUAGGUUCGGAAUAACUCCCCGAAAGGGGUGCUAAUACCGGAUAAUUUCUUCGGAUCAAAGAUUUAUCGCCUUUGUAUGGGCCGGCGUUGGAUUAGCCAGUUGGUAGGGUAAAAGCCUAUCACGGCGAGGAUCGAUAGCUGGUCUGAGAGGAAGAUCAGCGACACUCGGACUGGGAAACGGCCCAGAAUCCUACGGGAGGCAGGAGAGGGGAAUAUUGGACAAUGGGCGAAAGGCUGAAUCAGCAAGGCCGGGUGAGUGAUGAAGGCCGUAGAGUUGUAAAGCUCGUUUAUACGGGAUGAUAAUGACAGUACCGGAAGAAUAAGCACCGGCUAACUCCGUG